UAAACUACGAUUAGAUACCCUAUUAUUUAAAAUGUUAAUUAUUACCUAGGUAGUAGCAAUUAUGUUUUUUAAACCUAAAGAAUUUGGCGGUAUUUUAUUCUACUUAGAGGAACUUGUUUAGUAAUCGAUAAUCCUCGUUAUAUCUUGCUUAAUUUUGUUUUUCAGUAUGUAUAUCGUUGUUAUAAGUUUAUUUUUUUAGAAUUUUUAAUUUACUAAAUAAGUUAUUUUUUAUUAUUUCAAAUCAAGGUGCAGCUAAUAAUUAAGUUAUAAUGAGUUACAAUAUUGUAUUAAUAAAUGAAUGUGAUUUUUAAAAUAUUAUUGAAAGUGGAUUUAAUAGUAAUUUUAAUGAUAGAGUUUAUUUGAAAGUAGCUCUAUAAUAAGUACACAUCG
RNAcentral lists this ribosomal RNA (390 nucleotides) under Baculofractum insigne. Its description in RNAcentral is "partial 12S ribosomal RNA". Lineage: Eukaryota; Metazoa; Arthropoda; Insecta; Phasmatodea; Lonchodidae. The record is from RNAcentral.